RNAcentral lists this transfer RNA (77 nucleotides) under bacterium. Its description in RNAcentral is "tRNA-Pro". It matches the Rfam family "tRNA". From Rfam's summary of the family: Transfer RNA (tRNA) molecules are approximately 80 nucleotides in length. Their secondary structure includes four short double-helical elements and three loops (D, anti-codon, and T loops). The record is from RNAcentral.
UUCGAUGUAGUUCAGCGUGGUGGAACGCCCGGCUCGGGUCCGGGUAGACGCCGGUUCGACCCCGGCCAUCGAAGCUA